UACGAACCGUGCGAACGUUAUUCGGAAUCACUGGGCUUAAAGGGCGCGUAGGCGGGCCCGCAAGUCAGGGGUGAAAUCCCACGGCUCAACCGUGGAGGUGCCUUUGAUACUGCGGGCCUGGAGGGAGGUAGGGGCGUGCGGAACUUCCGGUGGAGCGGUGAAAUGCGCAGAUAUCAGGAGGAACACCAGCGGCGAAGGCGGCAUCCUGGACUGGUCCUGACACUCAGGAGCGAAAGCGUGGGGAGCGAUCCGG
RNAcentral lists this ribosomal RNA (253 nucleotides) under uncultured bacterium. RNAcentral describes it as "partial 16S ribosomal RNA". It matches the Rfam family "Bacterial small subunit ribosomal RNA", at positions 524 to 776 of the family's 1533-position model. The record is from RNAcentral.